GUGAGUAACACGUGGGCAACCUGCCUGUAAGACUGGGAUAACGCCGGGAAACCGGGGCUAAUACCAGAUCGUUUUUUCCUCCGCAUGGAGGAAAAAGGAAAGGCGGCUUCGGCUGCUACUUACAGAUGGGCCCGCGGCGCAUUAGCUAGUUGGCGGGGUAACGGCCCACCAAGGCAACGAUGCGUAGCCGACCUGAGAGGGUGAUCGGCCACAUUGGGAC
RNAcentral lists this ribosomal RNA (220 nucleotides) under Agathobacter rectalis. RNAcentral's name for it is "partial 16S ribosomal RNA". It matches the Rfam family "Bacterial small subunit ribosomal RNA", at positions 106 to 319 of the family's 1533-position model. The record is from RNAcentral. Lineage: Bacteria; Bacillati; Bacillota; Clostridia; Lachnospirales; Lachnospiraceae.